CGCCUUCACGCGCACAAAGGCCCCUCUCGCCACGGGCCGGCAACUUGGAGACGGGUCAGGUGUCUUCCUGGGGGCGGGACGUGGGCUGAGACCCCCUCCCCCUUCUCUCCCCUCCGCCUUCCUCGGAAGCCUGCGAAUGGAGAAUGGCGUGGGAUUAAGCAAACCCACAGAAACCGGUGAAGAACCCCCGCCCUCCCGGCUCCUGCUGCCUCGUCACCCGCCCCCGCCCCUCCUGGGCGCGAGGCUCCGCGCUCCUCCAGAAAGGGGUGGGGCCGUGGUCACAUCUGGGAACAGCUGGCUCUUGGCUGCUUGACCUUUGCCCCCGUUCCCAGGUGGGGGAGGAGGGGACUGGGGUCUUCCCAUCUGCAGGGGGUGGGGGAGAGACCGGUGUGGCUGGAGGUGCUCAGUGUGGAUGAAGCCUGGGGAGGGGAGGCUGAGGCUUCCAGCCUAAGGGAGGAGGGGACAGUUUGCAAGGGGCUCCAAGCCCAGUCCCUGCUCUGGGUCCCCUGUAGCCACAAGAUGGUCCACAGCUUCCAACCCCGACCUGGGAGGCCCCACCCACAGACCUGCCCUGUGGGGAGGCCCAGAUCCCCUCCAUCCACACGUCUCCCCUGAGGGACAGACGCACCCAGGUCCUGGCCCUGGUGCCUGAGCACCUCCCCAUUCCUCCCACAGCCAGACUAAGGCCCCCAGGGGCGGGGCACGGGCCAGGAGAGGGACCCUCUGGGCGCCCGCUGCUCCUUCUCCACCCCACGUGCUCAGAGCGUGCUUGGCCCGGCUGCCUCUCCCCGUAUGACUAGGAGGUGGGGGUACCACACAGCAAACCCCCCAGCUCAGGCUCAGGUCCCCGCCUGGAGCCAGCCGCCUGUUCCUUGGCUUAGGUCUGGGCUUAGGUCUGCACAGGGCCAAUUUGGGGAGGAGGAACUUGCCCUUUGAAGCUGGUGGGGGCCAGGACCCCCAGCACGCUUGAGUUCCCCCGGGUGGGAGAGGCCACCACAAAGGCUGUGAUUGUGAGCCAGGCCAGGCACACAAUGGGGUGGGCCGCCCAGGGGCCAGGGCCCCUGCUUGGAGAAGAGGCCACAGCCCCUUCCCUGCCGCUCCCGCCCCUGGCUCCCUCCUCCCCGGCCCCGCCCAGCCCCACCGGGAGAGACGGGCGGACCCAGGGCCCAACAGGCGCAGAGCGGCUCCACCCGAUCCCUGAAGGGUUGGUCUCUGGACCCGAGGGCUGUGGAACCUCUGGACUGCUGGCACGCCGGGGGCUGCUGCGGGAGGCCAGAGUUGUGCAGCCAUCAUGUGCCCGUCAGUCUGAAACCUGGUGCCGUACCCACUGCUCCGCACCCCCUCCUCGGCCGGAGGCAGCCACCGAGCCACUUGUUGUCUUAGGAGUUGCUUACUCUGGACAGCUCGUGGAAGCAAAGCUGCAGCAUGCGACCUCUUACGUCUGCCUUCUUUCCCUCAGCAUGAUUUCCAGAUUCAUCCGUGUCGUAGCUCUGUCAGCGCGUUGUUCCUUUUAAUGGUUGAAUAAUAUUCCUUUGUACAGAUUUUAUUUCUUUACUCAUCGUGUGUUAGACAUUUGUGUUGCUUCUACUUUUUGGCCACUUUGAAUAAAGCUGCUAUGG
This 1619-nucleotide long non-coding RNA is filed under the name Canis lupus familiaris (dog). RNAcentral describes it as "lncRNA (ENSCAFG00000053096.1)". The record is from RNAcentral. Lineage: Eukaryota; Metazoa; Chordata; Mammalia; Carnivora; Canidae.